AAGAAAGUGGCAGAGUGGUGAUGUGAAUGGCUUGAAACCAUUUUACGGGGGUUCGACUCCCUCUUUUCUCG
Molecule: transfer RNA, 71 nt
Filed under: Scopelarchus sp. ausc01
Lineage: Eukaryota; Metazoa; Chordata; Actinopteri; Aulopiformes; Scopelarchidae
Description: tRNA-Ser
Rfam family: tRNA
About the family: Transfer RNA (tRNA) molecules are approximately 80 nucleotides in length. Their secondary structure includes four short double-helical elements and three loops (D, anti-codon, and T loops).
Source: RNAcentral